UUUUCUGCCUUUUUCUUCUUCCUUUUCUCAGAACCAGACAAAUGCUUUUUAGGCAACAUUUUUACAGGAAAGGAUAGGGAACACCAGAAUUUUUCAGAGAAUUGAAGAAAUCCAGCUAUCCAGUCCCAAGCAUAUCGGAUCUUGCAAUGGUCCUUGGAUGAUUGGAUCCUCAAAUGAACAGCCUAAAUAAGCAGCAGAGAAGAUCAGUCAGGGAAUAGCUAAAACACCAAAAAAACUGUACAAAGAUGGAGCGGAAAACUACUCAGAAAUAACAAGAACCUUGUGAAUGGAGUUGUCAGGUUAGUGCAGGCAACAGGUGUUCAGGCCCUGUAGGUGUUGCAUCAGCCAUCAGGCUCUCCCGAGCGGCCUCGCGUCUCCUACUCUCCUUGAGCC
Molecule: long non-coding RNA, 393 nt
Filed under: Hordeum vulgare
Lineage: Eukaryota; Viridiplantae; Streptophyta; Magnoliopsida; Poales; Poaceae
Description: long non-coding RNA (HVUL_LNC000683)
Source: RNAcentral